RNAcentral lists this ribosomal RNA (539 nucleotides) under uncultured bacterium. RNAcentral describes it as "bacterial SSU rRNA". It matches the Rfam family "Bacterial small subunit ribosomal RNA", at positions 355 to 911 of the family's 1533-position model. The record is from RNAcentral.
UGGGGAAUCUUGGACAAUGGGGGCAACCCUGAUCCAGCCAUGCCGCGUGAGUGAUGAAGGCCUUAGGGUCGUAAAGCUCUUUCGCCUGUGAAGAUAAUGACGGUAGCAGGUAAAGAAACCCCGGCUAACUCCGUGCCAGCAGCCGCGGUAAUACGGAGGGGGUUAGCGUUGUUCGGAAUUACUGGGCGUAAAGCGCACGUAGGCGGAUCGGAAAGUUGGGGGUGAAAUCCCGGGGGCUCAACCCCGGAACUGCCUCCAAAACUAUCGGUCUAGAGUUCGAGAGAGGUGAGUGGAAUUCCAAGUGUAGAGGUGAAAUUCGUAGAUAUUUGGAGGAACACCAGUGGCGAAGGCGGCUCACUGGCUCGAUACUGACGCUGAGGUGCGAAAGUGUGGGGAGCAAACAGGAUUAGAUACCCUGGUAGUCCACACCGUAAACGAUGAAUGCCAGUCGUCGGAUAGCAUGCUAUUCGGUGACACACCUAACGGAUUAAGCAUUCCGCCUGGGGAGUACGGUCGCAAGAUUAAAACUCAAAUGAAUU